This 253-nucleotide ribosomal RNA is filed under the name uncultured bacterium. Its description in RNAcentral is "partial 16S ribosomal RNA". It matches the Rfam family "Bacterial small subunit ribosomal RNA", at positions 524 to 776 of the family's 1533-position model. The record is from RNAcentral.
UACGUAGGGUGCGAGCGUUAAUCGGAAUUACUGGGCGUAAAGCGUGCGCAGGCGGCUUUGCAAGACAGAUGUGAAAUCCCCGGGCUCAACCUGGGAACUGCAUUUGUGACUGUAUAGCUAGAGUAUGGAAGAGGUGAGUGGAAUUCCGAGUGUAGAGGUGAAAUGCGUAGAUAUGCGGAGGAACACCAAUGGCGAAGGCAAUCCCCUGGGCCUGUACUGACGCUCAUGCACGAAAGCGUGGGGAGCAAACAGG